This 107-nucleotide small nucleolar RNA is filed under the name Beta vulgaris subsp. vulgaris (sugar beet). RNAcentral's name for it is "Plant small nucleolar RNA R71". It matches the Rfam family "Plant small nucleolar RNA R71". Rfam says of the family: R71 is a member of the C/D box family of snoRNAs containing the C (UGAUGA) and D (CUGA) box motifs. Multiple nearly identical copies of this snoRNA have been identified in Arabidopsis, and it is thought to function as a 2'-O-ribose methylation guide for 18S ribosomal RNA. The record is from Rfam by way of RNAcentral. Lineage: Eukaryota; Viridiplantae; Streptophyta; Magnoliopsida; Caryophyllales; Amaranthaceae.
UAACCAUGAUGAGGGCAAGCCCGUCUCAAGUCCUUGAACCUUUCCCAAGCUUCACUCAAUGUCUCACCAUUUCGGUUAGAGAAUGUAGCUAUUUGACGUUUUAGCUC